Molecule: transfer RNA, 64 nt
Filed under: Bolivaritettix sikkinensis
Lineage: Eukaryota; Metazoa; Arthropoda; Insecta; Orthoptera; Tetrigidae
Description: tRNA-Pro
Source: RNAcentral
CAGGGGUUAGUUUAAUUAAAAUAUUAAAUUUGGGUUUUAAAGAAGGAAGUUAUUCUUCCCCUGA